UCUCAGGUUUUCCUGAAAACCAUCACCUACAUUUUUAAAAAAGUAGU
This is a non-coding RNA of Monodelphis domestica (gray short-tailed opossum), 47 nucleotides long. The record is from Rfam. NCBI's taxonomy places the organism in Eukaryota, Metazoa, Chordata, Mammalia, Didelphimorphia, Didelphidae.